This 453-nucleotide long non-coding RNA is filed under the name Helianthus annuus (common sunflower). Its description in RNAcentral is "sRNA HanXRQr2_Chr08g0323721". Lineage: Eukaryota; Viridiplantae; Streptophyta; Magnoliopsida; Asterales; Asteraceae. The record is from RNAcentral.
UUUUUCCUGCAACUCUCACUGGACGUCUGAAGCUUUGCAAGAGCUUUCUAGACAUGUGAAGCUUUGCAAGAUGUUGAUGUUGAGGAUGAGGCUCGGAUCGUUUGAAUAUUCUCUAAAGUUCGCGACUAUACUUUUAAGAUUCAUGAGGAAAUAGAAGACAACUGGGAUGGGAAGAGAUAAUCAAGAAGGGUGGAUAUAUCAGCUUAUUCGGGAUCAGGUGCGAAUGAUCGUCAUAUGCUAAUGCCUACUUUAUAUAACUAAUACCUGGAAAAUAUUGAAUAUGCGGUUGUACAUUGUAUCAAACACAUAAUACACUUGGAUUUUCUUUUAUUGUAUGUGCCUAAAUAAUGGCUAACUUGGUUGUAUCUGGAGUUGAUAAUACUUUUGUUGAUUUACUACUUUGAGUACGUGAAUAUACGGUUUUGCCGCCGCAAAGCGCGGCAUGGCUAAAUC